Molecule: microRNA precursor, 61 nt
Organism: Gadus morhua (Atlantic cod)
Lineage: Eukaryota; Metazoa; Chordata; Actinopteri; Gadiformes; Gadidae
Gene: gmo-mir-24a-4
Product: gmo-mir-24a-4
Source: Ensembl
UGCCUACUGAGCUGAUAACAGUUAGAUGUCAAAACAAGCACUGGCUCAGUUCAGCAGGAAC